GACGAACGCUGGCGGCGUGCCUAACACAUGCAAGUCGAGCGGUAAAGCCUUGGGCUUGUACCAAUUUGGAGAGCGGCGCACGGGUGAGUAACGCGUGGGGAAUCUCCCUUUGAGCGGGGGACAACAAUGGGAAACGAAUGCUAAUACCACAUAAUAACUUUAAACAUAAGUUGUAAGUGUGAAAGAUGCAAUUGCAUCACUCAAAGACGAUCCCGCGUUGUAUUAGCUAGUUGGUGAGGUAAAGGCUCACCAAGGCGAUGAUACAUAGCCGACCUGAGAGGGUGAUCGGCCACAUUGGGACUGAGACAGGGCCCAAACCCCCUCGGGGAGGAGCCGGAGGGGAUCUUCGGACAGGGGAGGAAGUCUGAGCGCGAAACGCCGCGGGAGUGAAGAAGGUCUUCGGGUCGGGAAACUCUGUUUGUAGGGAAGAAAGUUGGUGAGAGUGGAACGCUCAUCAAGUGACGGUAACUAAUCAGAAAGGGCCGGCUAACUACGUG
RNAcentral lists this ribosomal RNA (497 nucleotides) under uncultured bacterium. RNAcentral describes it as "partial 16S ribosomal RNA". It matches the Rfam family "Bacterial small subunit ribosomal RNA", at positions 28 to 507 of the family's 1533-position model. The record is from RNAcentral.